This 70-nucleotide transfer RNA is filed under the name Oscillospiraceae bacterium. RNAcentral's name for it is "tRNA-Gly". It matches the Rfam family "tRNA". From Rfam's summary of the family: Transfer RNA (tRNA) molecules are approximately 80 nucleotides in length. Their secondary structure includes four short double-helical elements and three loops (D, anti-codon, and T loops). The record is from RNAcentral. Lineage: Bacteria; Bacillati; Bacillota; Clostridia; Eubacteriales; Oscillospiraceae.
AGUGCGGUAGUUUAGUGGAAAAACUGUAUCUCCCCAAUAUAAGACGGCGGUUCGAUUCCGCCCCGCACUU